This 496-nucleotide ribosomal RNA is filed under the name uncultured bacterium. Its description in RNAcentral is "partial 16S ribosomal RNA". It matches the Rfam family "Bacterial small subunit ribosomal RNA", at positions 28 to 506 of the family's 1533-position model. The record is from RNAcentral.
GAUGAACGCUGGCGGCGUGCCUAAUACAUGCAAGUCGAGCGAACAGACGAGGAGCUUGCUCCUCUGACGUUAGCGGCGGACGGGUGAGUAACACGUGGAUAACCUACCUAUAAGACUGGGAUAACUUCGGGAAACCGGAGCUAAUACCGGAUAAUAUAUUGAACCGCAUGGUUCAAUAGUGAAAGACGGUUUUGCUGUCACUUAUAGAUGGAUCCGCGCCGCAUUAGCUAGUUGGUAAGGUAACGGCUUACCAAGGCAACGAUGCGUAGCCGACCUGAGAGGGUGAUCGGCCACACUGGAACUGAGACACGGUCCAGACUCCUACGGGAGGCAGCAGUAGGGAAUCUUCCGCAAUGGGCGAAAGCUUGACCGAGCAACGCCGCGUGAGUGAUGAAGGUCUUCGGAUCGUAAAACUCUGUUAUUAGGGAAGAACAAAUGUGUAAGUAACUAUGCACGUCUUGACGGUACCUAAUCAGAAAGCCACGGCUAACUACGU